Molecule: ribosomal RNA, 460 nt
Filed under: uncultured bacterium
Lineage: Bacteria
Description: partial 16S ribosomal RNA
Rfam family: Bacterial small subunit ribosomal RNA
Source: RNAcentral
CCUACGAGCGGCAGCAGUGAGGAAUAUUGGUCAAUGGACGAGAGUCUGAACCAGCCAAGUAGCGUGAAGGAUGACUGCCCUAUGGGUUGUAAACUUCUUUUAUAAAGGAAUAAAACGAGGCACGUGUGCCGUGUUGCAUGUACUGUACGAAUAAGGAUCGGCUAACUCCGUGCCAGCAGCCGCGGUAAUACGGAGGAUCCGAGCGUUAUCCGGAUUUAGUGGGUUUAAAGGGAGCGUAGAUGGGUUGUUAAGUCAGUUGUGAAAGUUUGCGGCUCAACCGUAAAAUUGCAAUUGAUACUGGCAGUCUUGAGUACAGUUGAGGUAGGCGGAAUUCGUGGUGUAGCGGUGAAAUGCUUAGAGAUCACGAAGAACCCCGAUUGCGAAGGCAGCUUACUAAACUGUGACUGACAUUGAUGCUCGAAAGUGUGGGUAUCAAACAGGAUUAGAUACCCUAGUAGUC